AGGAUAUCUCCAUGUAAGAUACAAUAAACAUUCACAUGCAAACAAGAGAGAGGACCUUCUUCAGCCAAAAGUUCAUACAUAAGAAAUCUAGUAGGUAUUUGACUUGAAGAAUGCAGAAUGAAUCGGUAAUUUUAGAUACCUCUCUCAUAAAUUAGCAAGCAAAGUCAAUAACUUAAAUCUUAUUAUGGCAUGAUUAAAAUCUUUAAAUAUUAACUUCUAGAUAUCAUGUCUAUAUAUGCAUUAAUUGACUUAUGCUUUUAGAAAUUGUUUCAUGGUUUGCCCAAACUAAAAUAUAUCUUUGCCUAUGUCAUAACCAUGAAAUACACAAGUUUAUGCUUAAAAUUUUGAUUUAAAAUAACUUGUGAAAAGUUAUGAAUUCUUGAGCAUAAUGAAAAUGUUGUUUGCAUGAUAUACAUCUAUAUGAUACAUAAGAUUAUUUCUUUAUUCUGCUCAUUCAUGUAAAUUACUUGAGAAUAACAAAAAGAGAGAGAGAGAUAAAGAAAAGAAAAUGGAUAUUAUUCAAGAGAAAAAAAUCUAAGUAAAGGCAAAUACUCCAAUCUUAAGGAAAAGCAAAACAAGCAUAAUAUAUUCGGCACAUUUGUGAGACUUGUGUGAGCAUUCUUUUGGAAGGGAUAAAAUCCGUAAUUAAUUAUACUUAAACAGGGAAAGUUUGAAGUGAACAUUUUAACCUUUCUAUAUUGCUUAUCAUAGGGAUGGUGCCAAUGGGGAGGCUAGUGAUAGUACCCGGCACUAUUUGACCCAACUAUUCGGUGUAGGG
RNAcentral lists this long non-coding RNA (778 nucleotides) under Phoenix dactylifera (date palm). Its description in RNAcentral is "long non-coding RNA (PDAC_LNC012276)". Lineage: Eukaryota; Viridiplantae; Streptophyta; Magnoliopsida; Arecales; Arecaceae. The record is from RNAcentral.